CGCCCGCUGGCGGCGUGCUUAACACAUGCAAAUCGAACGGUGAAGGGGCCUGCUUUUGUGGGCCCUGGAUGAGUGGCGAACGGGUGAGUAACACGUGAGUAACCUGCCCCCUUCUUCUGGAUAACCGCAUGAAAGUGUGGCUAAUACGGGAUAUUCUGGGUCUGUCGCAUGAUGGGUCUGGGAAAGAUUGCGCCUUUGGGUGUUUUUGGUGGGGGAUGGGCUCGCGGCCUAUCAGCUUGUUGGUGGGGUGAUGGCCUACCAAGGCGGUGACGGGUAGCCGGCCUGAGAGGGUGGACGGUCACACUGGGACUGAGACACGGCCCAGACUCCUACGGGAGGCAGCAGUGGGGAAGAUUGCACAAGGGGCGCAAGCCUGAUGCAGCGACGCCGCGUGAGGGAGGGAGGCCUUCGGGUUGUAAACCUCUUUCGCCAGUGAAGCAGGCCUGCUCCUUGUGGGUGGGUUGACGGUAGCUGGAUAAGAAGCGCCGGCUAACUACGUG
RNAcentral lists this ribosomal RNA (500 nucleotides) under uncultured bacterium. Its description in RNAcentral is "partial 16S ribosomal RNA". It matches the Rfam family "Bacterial small subunit ribosomal RNA", at positions 34 to 507 of the family's 1533-position model. The record is from RNAcentral.